GACGAACGCUGGCGGCGUGCUUAACAUAUGCAAGUCGAACGGAAAGGCCCCUUUGGGGGUACUCGAGUGGCGAACGGGUGAGUAACACGUGAGUAACCUGCCCCUGACUUCGGGAUAACUUCAGGAAACUGGGGCUAAUACCGGAUAGGAAUCCUUGCUGCAUGGUGGGGGUUGGAAAGCUUCGGCGGUUUUGGAUGGACUCGCGGCUUAUCAGCUUGUUGGUGGGGUAGUGGCUUACCAAGGCUUUGACGGGUAGCCGGCCUGAGAGGGCGACCGGCCACAUUGGGACUGAGAUACGGCCCAGACUCCUACGGGAGGCAGCAGUGGGGAAUAUUGCACAAUGGGCGGAAGCCUGAUGCAGCAACGCCGCGUGCGGGAUGACGGCCUUCGGGUUGUAAACCGCUUUCAGCAGGGGCGAAGCUUGUGGUGACGGUACCUGCAGAAGAAGCACCGGCUAACUACGUG
RNAcentral lists this ribosomal RNA (465 nucleotides) under uncultured bacterium. RNAcentral's name for it is "partial 16S ribosomal RNA". It matches the Rfam family "Bacterial small subunit ribosomal RNA", at positions 28 to 507 of the family's 1533-position model. The record is from RNAcentral.